Molecule: non-coding RNA, 27 nt
Filed under: Mus musculus (house mouse)
Lineage: Eukaryota; Metazoa; Chordata; Mammalia; Rodentia; Muridae
Source: RNAcentral
UGGACAUCUUUAAGCAUAGGUCUGGUA